AUCUGGAGGCUUCCACAGCAGCCCAGUACCUUCCCCUUGUAUCAGCCAACUAUCCCAUCCUAUCCAGUAUCAGCCUGGUAAAUAUCCUAUGCCAAAUCAGCCUGUUCCAAUAACAUGGAAGCCAAAGCCAACUCCUUUGGCAAACUGCUCUCCUGGUCUAGAAUAUUUAGUUGGACAACAUGCAUGUUUUUCAGCAUUUGGAGCUCCUGUGAUGACACAUUUUGAAACUAAUAAUAGAAAUGAUGUUAAAAACAACUCAGACCAGAUGGUUUUCAUCAUAACUGAAGACACACAUAUCUUUACCAGGAAUGUGUAUUGGACAUUAAGGCCCUUCAUCCUCCAGAUCACUGAAUGCAUGGGCUGAAAAGUCAUGACCAUACAGAGACCUUUCAGAUGUACCUGCUGUUGCCCCUCUGCCAGGCAAGAGGUCAAA
RNAcentral lists this long non-coding RNA (433 nucleotides) under Homo sapiens (human). RNAcentral's name for it is "non-protein coding lnc-PLSCR2-4:1". The record is from RNAcentral. Lineage: Eukaryota; Metazoa; Chordata; Mammalia; Primates; Hominidae.